UACGUAGGGUGCGAGCGUUGUCCGGAAUUACUGGGCGUAAAGAGCUCGUAGGUGGUUUGUCGCGUUGUCCGUGAAAACUCACAACUCAAUUGUGGGCGUGCGGGCGAUACGGGCAGACUGGAGUACUGCAGGGGAGACUGGAAUUCCUGGUGUAGCGGUGGAAUGCGCAGAUAUCAGGAGGAACACCGGUGGCGAAGGCGGGUCUCUGGACAGUUCCUGACGCUGAGGCGCGAAGGCCAGGGGAGCAAACGGG
RNAcentral lists this ribosomal RNA (253 nucleotides) under uncultured bacterium. RNAcentral's name for it is "partial 16S ribosomal RNA". It matches the Rfam family "Bacterial small subunit ribosomal RNA", at positions 524 to 776 of the family's 1533-position model. The record is from RNAcentral.